Molecule: long non-coding RNA, 1068 nt
Organism: Gasterosteus aculeatus aculeatus (three-spined stickleback)
Lineage: Eukaryota; Metazoa; Chordata; Actinopteri; Perciformes; Gasterosteidae
Source: Ensembl
CAAGAUACAGGCAGCGAGGCAAAAGCCAGCAAGGUGGGGGAGGAAGAGGAGGCCAUGGGGGGGUCAAGGGUAAUCUGACGGCAGUGAGAGUGAGGGCUGUGUGUCGGACAGCAGCGACAUCCACAGCGCCUGUCUGACACACAGCCAGCGGGAAAAGCUCUCCGCAGAGCAAAUCAAAAUGUUUUUACAAAAAGUCAAAAAUAGGAGGAAUCUGAAAAUCGAGGAGUUUUUCCCAGACCUGGUGUGUUUUUAUUACUCAGCCAGACUCCGCAUGAGCCAGCGAGAGGAGUCUGGCUUCACAGAUCAAGAGGGUUUUAGACUGAAAAAACUUGUGCUAAAAGCAAAACGAGCAAUCGAUGAUCACGAAAAAAGCCCCAAUGUGUGUUUUAAUUGAUUUAUUGGUUUUAUUUUUAUUUUUUAUCAUGGAUACUUUAAAAGUGGGAAGCCUGAAUGUGAACGGAGCCAGAGAUGCCAAGAAGAGGGCAUCUAUUUAUGAAUUUUAAAAAAUGAAACGUCUUGAUGUUCUCUUCGUGCAAGAGACGCACAGCGACAGCACCAACGAGGCCGACUGGAGGAGGGAGUGGGAAGGGGAAGUCCUGCUGAGCCACAACACCAACCUCAGUGGAGGAGUGGGCUUCCUCUUCUCCAGGUCUUUUAAGCCAAUCUCCCUGGAGGUCAAACACAUCAUCGAGGGGAGGUUGUUUUUAGUCAAGGCACGGUUCGACCUUUUUACUGUUUUUAUCAAUGUGUAUGCUCCAACAAUCGGUACAGAGAGGAAGCUUUUUUUAACAAAAGUUAAUGAUCUUUUAGAUGGCUGUGCCCCGGAGGAUUUUUUAUUCUUGGGGGGGGAUUUUAACUGCACAGAAGAUGCGACCAUAGACCGCAACCACGCAGAGCCACAUCCAGCUUCCCAGCACGCUCUGAGGCAGCUGGUCCAGUCUCAUGGCCUGGUGGAUGUGUGGAGAAGGAUGCAUGCAGACUGCCGACAGUACACGUGGUCCCACCUCAGAGAAGCACACUUUCAACGUGACCAGAGACAUCACCAGAUCUAUGAAGGACCUGGAGACC